GAUGAACGCUGGCGGCGUGCCUAAUACAUGCAAGUCGAGCGAACGGACGAGAAGCUUGCUUCUCUGAUGUUAGCGGCGGACGGGUGAGUAACACGUGGAUAACCUACCUAUAAGACUGGGAUAACUUCGGGAAACCGGAGCUAAUACCGGAUAAUAUUUUGAACCGCAUGGUUCAAAAGUGAAAGACGGUCUUGCUGUCACUUAUAGAUGGAUCCGCGCUGCAUUAGCUAGUUGGUAAGGUAACGGCUUACCAAGGCAACGAUGCAUAGCCGACCUGUGAGGGUGAUCGGCCACACUGGAACUGAGACGCGGUCCAGACUCCUACGGGAGGCAGCAGUAGGGAAUCUUCCGCAAUGGGCGAAAGCCUGACGGAGCAACGCCGCGUGAGUGAUGAAGGUCUUCGGAUCGUAAAACUCUGUUAUUAGGGAAGAACAUAUGUGUAAGUAACUGUGCACAUCUUGACGGUACCUAAUCAGAAAGCCACGGCUAACUACGUG
This 497-nucleotide ribosomal RNA is filed under the name uncultured bacterium. RNAcentral describes it as "partial 16S ribosomal RNA". It matches the Rfam family "Bacterial small subunit ribosomal RNA", at positions 28 to 507 of the family's 1533-position model. The record is from RNAcentral.